Physcomitrium patens is the source of this 3374-nucleotide RNA transcript. It is a transcript of the gene named isoamylase 2, chloroplastic, with no coding region annotated. NCBI's taxonomy places the organism in Eukaryota, Viridiplantae, Streptophyta, Bryopsida, Funariales, Funariaceae. The record is from RefSeq and is a predicted model, not a curated record.
GGUUCACAGCACUGAAGAAACAAGAGCGGUUCUAACACAGAAUGAGUUCGUAGACAGCGAUGAGAGAGAGGUUCUACGGGAGGGCCCCAAGCUCAGGCGAAGAACAAAUCCGACCUUGCCUUGCGAGGUGAAGGCGGUGGGUAUUCGGUGAUGCGUUGUUGUCGUGGGUGAUUGCAUUUGUUGUUGUUGUUGUUGUCGUCGUCGUUGCUGUUGUCUUCGUCGUCGACAUUUUUGUCGCCGCAGGAAAUGAAAGACAUAGCUAUGGGGACUCUCCUACGGCCCCCUGCUUUUUCUCUCUCCCUCGCUUCAGUCUCUGCCUCCCCAUCCGCCCACUCCCUGCCUCUUCCUCUCUUCAAGCCAGCUCCAUUGCUCUCGUCCUCGUCCUCGUUCGCAUUCCCUACCCGCAUCCCUCUCUGUCAUCCCUUUUCCUAUGAUCUCCUCCGUUGCUGCGCUCUCCCCGAUGACUCCACUCUGCCCACUCCCACUUCUGCUGCCCCAUCCGCUCCCCGCUCGGAUUCCGACACCCACCUUUGGGAUUCCUUCGUGCAAGCCCACUCCCAGGAAUUUCGAUUUCGCCACGAUGACGACGACAUCAUGCUUGCCGCGCCACCUCCGCUUCCCCCUCAGGCUCGCCAACCUCAAUUGCAGAAGUUUUUGUUCCACGCUCAGCCUCAUUGCAAGGUGGAGGUUGCCGUGAGCAAAGAGGGCGCCGACCAUUUCGUUAUAGACAUUGUCGUCAACACUGGCGAUAUGUUUCCCAAAUCGAAUGAGCCUCUCAAAUUGCAUUGGGGGCUCUUCCGAUCAGACUCAACGGAGUGGGUUCUACUGGAGCCAGAUGAAGCUCCCGGCGGUACGACUGUCAUCAUGGAUGGGGUGAUUGAAGCUAUGCAAACGCCAUUUGUGGUAGGCUCUCAGGGCAACCAGACACUGAGCUUGACUUUGGAUGCGGCAAUGGCUCCAUUUUUUGUGAAUUUUGUACUUCUUCAACCGCCAACCACAGAAGAAGAGGAAAAUUUGUGGAUCAGAGGAAAUCAGGGUUCCAAUUUCUGUAUUCCUGUCGGAAUGAGGAGGGGUCGGCCUGAUCCUCUUGGGGUGACGUGGGGGAAAGACGGAUCUGUUAAUUUUGCACUUUACUCCUUGCAUGCGGAGAAUGUUGUUCUGUGCCUGUACGAAGCAGACGCCAUUGAACCUAGUCUCGAAAUAGAUUUGUAUCCGUCUGUACAUCGGACUGGUUAUGUGUGGCAUAUUGAGCUUGAGAGCGUGGGAUCCUACAUACGGUAUGGCUAUCGCUGUAAGGGGCAAGUGGGGUGGGAAAGCGGUGGUCGUUUUCAUGCUCGAAAUGUUCUUCUCGAUCCAUAUGCGAAGUUCAUUGCUCCCCACGUUCCAGGGCAAGAAGAGCUUCCAUCGCCUGCUCCCGUGCUUGGUUGGCUUCUCAAAGGUGGUGUACCAUUCGAUUGGGAGGGUGACGCACCUCCUCGAAUUCCUUUGGAGACUUUGGUGGCAUAUCGACUGCAUGUGGGAACCUUUACAGGUGAAGCAGAAAAUGUUGAUGAAACCUCCCGUGGUACUUUUCUGGGAGUACUAGAGAAGAUUCCUUACUUGCGAAGCCUGGGAGUCAACGCUGUAAUUUUGCAACCGAUUUUUGCAUGGGAUGAAUCCAAGGGAUGCUACUAUCCAAUUAGCUUCUUUUCAGUGAUGAGUUGCUAUGGCUCUUCCGGCGACAGUCGAUCGGCAAGCUUUGCUCUGAAGAAAUUGGUGAAAGAACUUCACCGAAAUGGCAUAGAGGUGAUACUGGAUGUAGUGUACAGUCACACAGCAGAGAAUGGGGAUGAUGGGCCUAAACCAACAUCGUUCCGUGGCAUUGACAACGCGACCUACUACAUUUGCGAUAAAUUUGGCGUAGUUGCCAAAUCUGAUUAUGGGACAGAAAAUUCCUUUAAUUGCAACCAUCCAACCGUUCAAAAGCUUAUCAUGGACAGUCUCCAGUAUAUUGUGGAUGAAUUUCACAUAGAUGGCUUCUGCUUCAAAAACGCUGCAUGCCUCAUUACAGGACCUCAUGGUCAAGGCCUCAGCAGACCUAUGUUGGUAGAGUCUAUUUCAUUUGACUCUGUGCUUGCCAACGUGAAGCUCAUCGCUGAUCUGUGUUCACCAAUUAAUGGGGUUUGGAAGGAUGUGACAUUUCCACACUGGAAAAGGUGGUGUGAGUGGAACACGCAAUACAAGAUUGAUGUGCGUCGUUUUCUGCGGGGAGAGCCUGAUCAGCUGAGUAGUUUUGCGACGCGUCUUUGUGGCAGUGGUGAUUUAUUUGCAGAUGGUCGAGGGACCCAGUAUUCACUUAACCACAUAACAUCCCCAUAUGGCUUCACACUCACUGAUUUGGUGAGCUACAGCGAUGAGGAGGGGGAUAUCAGCGAGUAUAGUUGGAAUUGUGGGCAUGAAGGCCCUACAGAUGAUCCCUUGGUUAUCGAAAUACGAGUGAAACAGAUCAUAUGUGUUGUGACCAGGUUCGCAACUUCCUCACAACGCUGUUUUUGUCUCAAGGAGUUCCUGUUCUCAAUAUGGGUGAUGAGUAUGGAAACACCAAGGAAGGUGUCUUGGAUGUUGACAACAGUACAUGUUUUCAAUGGGAGGCAAUGGACUCGGAAUUUGGGAAGCAAAUUACACAUUUGAUUAGAUCUCUGUUGGCAUUGCGCAUACGCCGAAGCGAUUUGCUACAGGUGAGGGGAUUUCUAGACUUGAAAAGACUCACAUGGCAUGGCUUAAAGCCAGAGCAACCUCUUUGGGAGUGUACAGAGAGCAAUAUUCUAGCGGUCAGUCUGCAGUCAGAUAUAAUGCAACCAAACGCCAACAAAUCUCUUGGCGACCUGUACAUUGCGUACAAUCCUCACCCAGUGUCCAUGAUGGUGACGGUUCCAGAUGCACCAGCAGACAUGAUUUGGCUUCGGAUUGCAGACACGAGCCUUCCCUUUCCCGACAACUUCCUCGUCGAAGGCCAGCCCCUCCAGAUCGAAGUGGAUGCCUCCAGUUAUGUUUACGACCUGCAUCCUUACAGUUCGGUGAUCCUGGAGGCUCGUGCUGGUGCGGGGCCUCAGUGAAAUUUUCAUCACAUGCAUUCUCUCUUGGAGCAGCAGCAGGGUGAUUCUACUGAGAUUCUGCAGCUCUUGAUACUGGGUAGUGAAGGCUUUAUCACCUAAAUGUAGGAGUAAUCAUGGUUGACAGUGAUGGACAUGAGACUUGCGGGUGAUGCAGUGAAGAUAGCGACUUAGGCACUAGAGAGGGACCGGAACUGGUUUGCACGAAAGUCUAUCGGGAGGUGUAUUGUAUGUCAAUGCUAUCUAAACCUGACAAAUAUAUCGUCGGAGAUGUCCAUGAUA